UAAAUACUCCCGAGAGACCGAUAGCGAACCAGUACUGUGAAGGAAAGGUGAAAAGAACCUCGAACAGAGGAGUGAAACAGACCCUGAAACCAUGCGCCUACAAGCGGUCGGAGCAUGUUAAAAUGUGACGGCGUGCCUUUUGCAUAAUGAACCUACGAGUUACUCUCGCUGGCAAGGUUAAGCGAUUCAGUCGCGUAGCCGAAGCGAAAGCAAGUCCGAACAAGGCGUACAGUCAGCGGGAGUAGACGCGAAACCAAGUGAUCUACCCUUGGUCAGGUUGAAGGUUGGGUAACACCAACUGGAGGACCGCACCGAUAAGCGUUGAAAAGCUUACGGAUGAACUGAGGGUAGGAGUGAAAGGCCAAUCAAACUUGGAGAUAGCUCGUACUCCCCGAAAUGCAUUUAGGUGCAGCCUCGAAGCAGAGUGAUAGAGGUAGAGCGACUGAUAAGAUGCGAGGGCUUCACCGCCUAUCAAGUCUUGACAAACUCCGAAUACUAUCACUUGAUCUUUGGGAGUGAGGGCAUGGGUGCUAAGGUCCAUGUCCGAAAGAGGAACAACUCAGACCACCAGCUAAGGUCCCGAAAUAAGGGCUAAGUUGAAUAAACGAAGUAAAACUGCAAAGACAGCUAGGAUGUUGGCUUGGAAGCAGCCAUUCAUUUAAAGAGUGCGUAACAGCUCACUAGUCGAGGAGUUUUGCAUGGAUAAUAAUCGGGCAUAAGCCCUUUACCGAAGCUGUGGAUGUCGUAAGACAUGGUAGGGGAGCAUUCCGGCGGCGACGAAGGCCGUCCUCGAGGACGACUGGAGCUUUCGGAAAAGCAAAUGUAGGUAUAAGUAACGAUAAAGGGGGCGUGAAACCCCCUCGCCAUAAGACUAAGGAUUCCUGAUCAACGCUAAUCGGAUCAGGGUAAGUCGGGCCCUAAGGCGCAGCCGAACGGCGUAGCCGAUGGAAGAAACGGUAAAGAUUCCGUUACUGGAUAUAGGAGCGAUGUGGAGACGGAGAAGUGACACACCCGCCUGCCGACGGAAGCGCAGGUUAAAGGAAGUAGGUAAACGCCGGGUAGGCAAAUCCGCCCAGCGUGCCGAAACUGACAGUAUCGAGAGCCCCCGGGCAAUCGAAUAGCGGUGGUAAUCAGGCUCCCAAGAAAAUCCGCUAAGCAAAUUCUAUAUUCACCCGUACCCCAAACGGACACACGUAGUCGGGUAGAAUAUACCAAGGCGCUCGAAAGACUCACGGUUAAGGAACUAGGCAAAUUGACCCUGUAACCUCGGGAAAAAGGGUCCCCAGUAAGAUGGGGCGCAGAGAAUAGGUCCAGGCAACUGUUUAACAAAAACACAGGGCUGUGCAAAAUUUCAAGAUGAAGUAUACAGCCUGACACCUGCCCGGUGCCGGAAGGUUAAGAGGAGAGCUAAUCGCAAGAGAAGGCUUGAAUUGAAGCCCCGGUAAACGGCGGCCGUAACUAUAACGGUCCUAAGGUAGCGAAAUUCCUUGUCGGGUAAGUUC
RNAcentral lists this ribosomal RNA (1502 nucleotides) under human gut metagenome. RNAcentral's name for it is "bacterial LSU rRNA". It matches the Rfam family "Bacterial large subunit ribosomal RNA", at positions 467 to 1983 of the family's 2925-position model. The record is from RNAcentral.